AUACACCCCGCGCAGCAACAUUGUUACAUGUUUGCGUUGGGGAAACGAUGUGUGACACCCAGGCAGGCGUGCCCUCGGCCUAAUGGCUUCGGGCGCAACUUGCGUUCAAAGACUCGAUGGUUCACGGGAUUCUGCAAUUCACACCAAGUAUCGCAUUUCGCUGCGUUCUUCAUCGAUGCAGACCUUGGACC
RNAcentral lists this unclassified non-coding RNA (191 nucleotides) under uncultured fungus. RNAcentral describes it as "sequence contains ITS1". The record is from RNAcentral. Lineage: Eukaryota; Fungi.